GUGCUCGCUUCGGCAACACAUAUACUAGAAUUGGAAAGAUGCAGAGAAGAUUAGCAUGGCCCGUGCGCAAGGAUGACAUGCAAAUUCGUGAAGCAUUCCAUAUUUUU
Small nuclear RNA from Ochotona princeps (American pika), 107 nucleotides. The record is from Ensembl. Lineage: Eukaryota; Metazoa; Chordata; Mammalia; Lagomorpha; Ochotonidae.